Molecule: ribosomal RNA, 927 nt
Filed under: uncultured Amphibacillus sp.
Lineage: Bacteria; Bacillati; Bacillota; Bacilli; Caryophanales; Bacillaceae
Description: bacterial SSU rRNA
Rfam family: Bacterial small subunit ribosomal RNA
Source: RNAcentral
GAGUUUGAUCCUGGCUCAGGAUGAACGCUGGCGGCGUGCCUAAUACAUGCAAGUCGAGCGCGUGAAAUUAAACAGAUCUCUUCGGAGUGACGUUUAAUGGAUCGAGCGGCGGAUGGGUGAGUAACACGUGGGCAACCUGCCUAUAAGACUGGGAUAACUUACGGAAACGUGAGCUAAUACCGGAUAAAACCUUUUGUCUCCUGACAAGAGGAUAAAAGAUGGCGCAAGCUAUCACUUAUAGAUGGGCCCGCGGCGCAUUAGCUAGUUGGUGAGAUAAAAGCUCACCAAGGCAACGAUGCGUAGCCGACCUGAGAGGGUGAUCGGCCACACUGGGACUGAGACACGGCCCAGACUCCUACGGGAGGCAGCAGUAGGGAAUCUUCCGCAAUGGACGAAAGUCUGACGGAGCAACGCCGCGUGAACGAAGAAGGUCUUCGGAUCGUAAAGUUCUGUUGUUAGGGAAGAACACGUACCAUUCGAAUAGGGUGGUACCUUGACGGUACCUAACGAGAAAGCCCCGGCUAACUACGUGCCAGCAGCCGCGGUAAUACGUAGGGGGCAAGCGUUGUCCGGAAUUAUUGGGCGUAAAGCGCGCGCAGGCGGUUCUUUAAGUCUGAUGUGAAAUCUUGCGGCUCAACCGCAAGCGGUCAUUGGAAACUGGAGAACUUGAGGACAGAAGAGGAGAGUGGAAUUCCACGUGUAGCGGUGAAAUGCGUAGAGAUGUGGAGGAACACCAGUGGCGAAGGCGACUCUCUGGUCUGUAACUGACGCUGAGGCGCGAAAGCGUGGGUAGCGAACAGGAUUAGAUACCCUGGUAGUCCACGCCGUAAACGAUGAGUGCUAGGUGUUAGGGGGUUUCCGCCCCUUAGUGCUGGCGUUAACGCAUUAAGCACUCCGCCUGGGGAGUACGGCCGCAAGGCUGAAACU